ACGGGUGAGUAACACGUGAGUAACCUGCCCUUAACUCUGGGAUAAGCCUGGGAAACUGGGUCUAAUACCGGAUAUGACUCCUCAUCGCAUGGUGGGGGGUGGAAAGCUUUAUUGUGGUUUUGGAUGGACUCGCGGCCCAUCAGCUUGUUGGUGAGGUAAUGGCUCACCAAGGCGACGACGGGUAGCCGGCCUGAGAGGGUGACCGGCCACACUGGGACUGAGACACGGCCCAGACUCCUACGGGAGGCAGCAGUGGGGAAUAUUGCACAAUGGGCGCAAGCCUGAUGCAGCGACGCCGCGUGAGGGAUGACGGCCUUCGGGUUGUAAACCUCUUUCAGUAGGGAAGAAGCGAAAGUGACGGUACCUGCAGAAGAAGCGCCGGCUAACUACGUGCCAGCAGCCGCGGUAAUACGUAGGGCGCAAGCGUUAUCCGGAAUUAUUGGGCGUAAAGAGCUCGUAGGCGGUUUGUCGCGUCUGCCGUGAAAGUCCGGGGCUCAACUCCGGAUCUGCGGUGGGUACGGGCAGACUAGAGUGAUGUAGGGGAGACUGGAAUUCCUGGUGUAGCGGUGAAAUGCGCAGA
RNAcentral lists this ribosomal RNA (580 nucleotides) under uncultured bacterium. RNAcentral's name for it is "bacterial SSU rRNA". It matches the Rfam family "Bacterial small subunit ribosomal RNA", at positions 102 to 694 of the family's 1533-position model. The record is from RNAcentral.